Long non-coding RNA from Portunus trituberculatus (swimming crab), 1369 nucleotides. RefSeq lists it as uncharacterized. The transcript has 2 exons. Lineage: Eukaryota; Metazoa; Arthropoda; Malacostraca; Decapoda; Portunidae. The record is from RefSeq and is a predicted model, not a curated record.
UGCUGCUGUGUGGACUUCUCGUUGGCAGCCAGUGUGUUGAAGAGCUGCUUGAGGGAUGGGCAGCUGGACACAACGUCUGGGAUCCCCUCCAGAGUCUGCAGUAAACACAACUUUGACUGAAGCUGAGUUGGCAUGAAGGAACAAGGUGCUGCAAAGGUUCAGGAGUGACUUGGUGGGAUGAGCAGAUGGCAGUGAGUGAUGAUGUGAGGAAGUAAGUGAGGCUGUACCUAAAAAUGGGCAUGCAUGUGAAGAGAACUUAAGAGGUGUUGUAUCAGUCAGGAGGAGGUACCAAGUGAGAAAGGUAAAAAAGAACAUCAGAAAAGUUCAUAAUACAUGAAUUGUGAAUGAACAGUACAUUGUUGAGCAGGGGUUUUGACCUUUUAAAUCUUAUGUACUCCUUGAAGUGUUUCAGUAUUGGUUAUAACCCUUACCCACAAUGCAGCAACGGUGGUUACUAUAUUAUGGGUUUGCAGGUUGUGUGGCAAUUUGUAGUCCUAGAGAGCCUUUUCUCAAGUGACAUACAACUCCAAGAGUUUCCUUGUUAACAUUGUCACUGUCCUGGUUCUAGUGGAGGACACAUUUAGCCUACUUUCUACAAACAAGUUUGCAGUUAUUGAAAACUGAAGUGUUUUGAGAGACCUGUCACAUACCCAAAGCUCAGAAUCCUUGUUGUUGGUAGAAAUUUAUUUUGUUUGAAAAGAUAUUCAGUGUUGUGUGUCUAGACUUCUUGUGAGGAGUAUCAGCCUGGUAUUUACAGUCAGUGACAUUUGCAAUUAGAGUGCAUUGGUGAAGAAAUGAAGCAAUGAGGGACAUGAGAGUGUGCCUCACCACAAGCAUGGUGGUGGGCUGCCACAAAAUGUUUGAUAGCAUCUCAUAAGUAUCAAGAGAUGGCAAAAAAGUGUAUUCUCAGCUUACGGCUAAACAACAACAAAAAAUAAAUAUUUAUGGUCGGCCCACCACCAUGUUUGUGGUGAGGCACAUCCUCAUGUUCGUCAUUGCUCCAUUUCUUCACCAAUGCACUCACAAUCUUUUGUCUUUUUUAGUGCAAUAGUGAUACAGCUUAUUGCUUCUAUUUGUUUCACCAAGGAGUGGUCACAAUAGACGACUUUCCCUUAAGCACUGACUCCGUUACUUUAUGCUUUCUAAACAUACACGAGGGACUGACCUAAGUAGCCAUGUAGUUAUUUUCUCCCGGCAAAUUUUUUUGAGUGAGUUGCCAGUUUGUGCAAUGUAACUAAUGCUUGCAUCAGCAGGAGUUCCAAUCACAAAUAUCACUGACUGUAAAUGAAUGAUAUUGUGGAGAGUAAUGUACUUAGGUACUGAGAGAGAGAGAGAGAGAGAGAGAGAGAGAGAGAGAGAGAGAGAGAGA